RNAcentral lists this long non-coding RNA (975 nucleotides) under Mus pahari (shrew mouse). RNAcentral's name for it is "lncRNA (MGP_PahariEiJ_G0006044.1)". The record is from RNAcentral. Lineage: Eukaryota; Metazoa; Chordata; Mammalia; Rodentia; Muridae.
AUGUAAGAAACCAGGGAGUGAAGAGAGGGUCUUCAGCCAACGGGCUUUGUAUUUACCUCCUGCUUUGCAUAAAAGGCAGGGAGAACGGAACACCCUUUCACCUUGAGGAGAAGGUUGAGGCUGGGGUCAGCUUGAGGUGGAACACGGGAGUCUGGGAAGCAUGCCUCUUAGACACUCGUUCCCAUUCUCCUUGUGGUUUUCAUCUACAUGGCCGCCACUUGCACGUCUCUGUCCUUCCUGACCCUAAGCAAUCCUACUGUAAGAAAAACAGAGAUGCCUUCUGGUCAUCUCAGGCAGAGCAGCUUGGAACAGGAAGGUAGGCACCCUACCCAGAGGUCAGACCAAUGCCCCAGCAAUGGUGUGAAUGGCUCCUCUGUCUAGGGAAAACAUGGGGAGAAAGCGGGUGAGCUGGGGCAGAGGGUUUCGAAUAGUGAAGAACAAGGCACCCCAACCUCCAACAGAGAGGGCACAGUUAGUGCCACGCCUCAGUCAAAGCAUACCUGUGAAGUGGCUCCCCCAUUUCUUGAGGAUCCCGGCAUGAUUCAUGUGGGAAAGUGAGGGAGUCUGGAGAGGCUGAAUGAGUGGAGGAACCCAGGGGCAAGAAAGCACUUCUCCAAUGAAGAGGAGGCAGGGGCUGCAGGCUGGCAAACCUAAAAUUCCCCAGAGUCUGUAGAAUUUUGAUAAUGUCCCCCCAUCAAAGUGGAGGAUAGGAGAUAUAUGACAUUCAGAAGUUGGGACAUGUCAGGAACAAUUGUUUCUCCUACCCUGAUCCCCACCCCCCCACCCCCCACCCCCCACACACCUCCAAGGGCAGGAGCUGAGAUACUUCCUACAAGACCCACCCCAGGUAGCCAGCCGAAGUGAGUCAGUUAGGAGGGGUGUCCUCGCCCCUGGACAAACAAUGCAGAACCCUCUACCCCCUCCCCUGUGCCCUCCACGCCCGAGCCUCGGUAAUUAAAAUAUGAAUUCACCUUC